GAACCAGUACCGUGAGGGAAAGGCGAAAAGAACCCCGGCGAGGGGAGUGAAAAAGAACCUGAAACCGUGUACGUACAAGCAGUGGGAGCACGCUUAGGCGUGUGACUGCGUACCUUUUGUAUAAUGGGUCAGCGACUUAUAUUCUGUAGCAAGGUUAACCGAAUAGGGGAGCCGAAGGGAAACCGAGUCUUAACUGGGCGUUAAGUUGCAGGGUAUAGACCCGAAACCCGGUGAUCUAGCCAUGGGCAGGUUGAAGGUUGGGUAACACUAACUGGAGGACCGAACCGACUAAUGUUGAAAAAUUAGCGGAUGACUUGUGGCUGGGGGUGAAAGGCCAAUCAAACCGGGAGAUAGCUGGUUCUCCCCGAAAGCUAUUUAGGUAGCGCCUCGUGAAUUCAUCUCCGGGGGUAGAGCACUGUUUCGGCAAGGGGGUCAUCCCGACUUACCAACCCGAUGCAAACUGCGAAUACCGGAGAAUGUUAUCACGGGAGACACACGGCGGGUGCUAACGUCCGUCGUGAAGAGGGAAACAACCCAGACCGCCAGCUAAGGUCCCAAAGUCAUGGUUAAGUGGGAAACGAUGUGGGAAGGCCCAGACAGCCAGGAUGUUGGCUUAGAAGCAGCCAUCAUUUAAAGAAAGCGUAAUAGCUCACUGGUCGAGUCGGCCUGCGCGGAAGAUGUAACGGGGCUAAACCAUGCAC
RNAcentral lists this ribosomal RNA (701 nucleotides) under Escherichia coli. RNAcentral describes it as "partial 23S ribosomal RNA". It matches the Rfam family "Bacterial large subunit ribosomal RNA", at positions 492 to 1194 of the family's 2925-position model. Lineage: Bacteria; Pseudomonadati; Pseudomonadota; Gammaproteobacteria; Enterobacterales; Enterobacteriaceae. The record is from RNAcentral.